AAGUCGUAACAAGGUUUCCGUAGGUGAACCUGCGGAAGGAUCAUUAUUGAAUAAGUUGAGAGGUUGAAGCUGGCUCUUCGGGGCAUGUGCACACCUUUCAAACUCAUCUCAACCACCUGUGAACUUUUUGUAGACCUGGAAAUGGAUGUCUUUGGGGGGUUGUGGCUCCCUUUGCCAUUUCCUGUGUCUAUGUUUUUAUAAUACACUCUUAAAAUGUCGUAGAAUGUCUUUUAUGGAUUGAAAAAUUUAUACAACUUUCAACAACGGAUCUCUUGGCUCUC
RNAcentral lists this unclassified non-coding RNA (281 nucleotides) under air metagenome. RNAcentral describes it as "partial contains small subunit ribosomal RNA, internal transcribed spacer 1, and 5.8S ribosomal RNA". The stretch from base 1 to 46 matches the Rfam family "Eukaryotic small subunit ribosomal RNA", at positions 1786 to 1831 of the family's 1831-position model. The record is from RNAcentral.